UCAUGUAAGUAAUUAUCAUAGGAAAGAGAGGAAAUGUUUUGACAAAUGGUCUUCUGUAGUUUCAGAACAUCGCCAUACUCCAGUGCUGGCCAAGCUUGAGGAAGCCCAUCACACCCAAACUGUCUCACAAUCACAACUAAAAACUAGACAGAGUACAGGAAGCAACUACCCCAACACGGAGGAGUUAACUCACGGAGAGACUGAGAAGAGGCCAGAUUUGAAGAACAACAGUUAGGAGAGAAACAUACCUUAAUCUGAGCCCUGAGGAAAUGUGGGAUCUCUGUGCCCUUAGAGAAACACUAUUGGAUAAAUGAAAGACAACAAAGGAUAUAUCAAAUGUAGUUACUCAGAAAUGAAGAUAAGAGAUCGCCUACGUUGCAUGGAGAAACCUGUUCAGAGUCUGAAUACCCUAGAGCUGAUUUCUUUUCAAAACCUAUUCCUUCCUGGCAAAUUUUUCCCCUGAAUCCACUUGGAAAUGGCGAACUUUUGGGUUCAAUGUAAAAGUAAUAAAGCUGUGACAUAUUAAACA
RNAcentral lists this long non-coding RNA (529 nucleotides) under Ursus maritimus (polar bear). RNAcentral describes it as "lncRNA (ENSUMAG00000000055.1)". Lineage: Eukaryota; Metazoa; Chordata; Mammalia; Carnivora; Ursidae. The record is from RNAcentral.